CGGGAGCCCGCACACUGUGAGCGCGCACGGCGGCGGCAGAUUUCUAAUGCUUUUUGGUGGUGCAUAAGCGGACUCAGCAAUGGGUGUAAAGGGUCUCCAGCAGUUUGUAGAUCACACCUGCCCAGCUGUGAGAGUAUGGGUGGAUCUGAAGGAGAUGGCAGAGCAGUACAAGCGCUCCCACCCUGGACGUUCUCCUGUUGUGGUGGUGGACACCCUGGCAUGUCUGAGACAUUGGUACACCUCUGAGGCCUGGGUGCACGGUGGUCAGUGGCGUGAGUACUUGGAGAGUCUGAAAUACUUUGUGAAUGCUUUCUCAGCAGCCGGCAUAGAGCUGGUAUUUGUCUUUGAUGGGGUAAUAGAACAGAAGAAAAGGGAUGAAUGGAUCAAACGACGACUGAGGAACAACCUUGAGAUUGAAAAAAUCUUUCAGUACAUAAAGACAAAUGCCUGCCAACCAGGAAGAGAGAUGUUCUUCAUUCCAUCUGGACUGGCCACCUUUACUCGCUUUGCCUUAAAAUCAUUAGGCUUAAACACCAUGUGUUCCCUGAAGGAGGCUGAUUAUGAGAUAGCUAGCUAUGCAAGGUUAAAUGACGCUAUGGCAAUUCUGAGUCAGGACACAGACUUCCUCAUUUAUGACACCAAGCCAUACCUCUCGAUAAGCAAUCUGUCUCUGGAAAAGCUAACUACUGUUAUGUAUUCUCGUGAAAACCUCUGUCACUCUCUCAGGCUGCAGAUGAUGGACUUGCCACUUUUGGCCUGUCUUCUUGGUAACGACACAGUGUCAGAAAACGUGGUGGGAAGACUGAAGCGCCAGUGCCUGGCUGAAUACUUGCCUGGUAGCCCAAACGCAAGGCAGAGGCAGGAGAUGGUCCCAGCAGUGGCGCAUUACAUCUCCAGUGUGGAUCAUUCGUACCAUGGGUUGAAAGAGGUGGAGAGAAACCUGCAACACCACUCAGAUGAAAGCUUGCUAGAAAAGGGAGUGGAAUCUUACAUACUGCCUGGGCAGAGCUCACCAUGGCUUCCCCUCAACAAAAUAUUUCCAGUGACGCACCAGUGUGAGAUGCCCAUAUACCCAAAUCUUAGGAUUUUACAGUUUGCAAGAGAGAAGCACAUCAAAGCUGAGAGCUCUAUGGUUUACAGAAUCUUGAGUAGUGGAGAAGUUGAUUGCAGCAACACUCUGGAAGAUGAGUUGGAUGCAGACCUUCCUGGACAAGCAAUUGUUUACCGAUCUGCUCGACAGUCUAUUUAUGGCAUUCUUCUAGCUGCUGAACCAAAUGCCCUGCCUGAUUCUGCCAGAUUAUGCCGUACCGUAAAGGAAUGGUUUGUAUAUCCAGGUAACCUGCUCCAGCAGCCAGAUCUUGUGCCAGCUUUACCACCGGAACUGCCAGGAGGAGUUCCAGAUUUACAAACCUUGUGGCUAACAGAAGGGUCAACAGUUGAAGAGUUGCGUUACCGCAUAUUUCUUGCAUGUUUUGGCGUACAGGAUUUUGUUCAGGAGUUUCGUCGUCUGGAAAAUCCCACCACUGCUGCUGUUUGCUGCCUGCUGAUCUAUAUCACGCUGCAGGUAAGCACAUUAUCUCUGGAAGACCUGGAUGCAUAUUUGGCUCAAAUGAUAUGUGUCCGUGACAAGCCAGCUGACCAUCUCACUCAGAUACAGGUGUCCCAUGUUGAUUCGCGAGCUGUGCACCUGGCUUCCCUUUUUGUGCGGGGCCUGGCUGUGCUCAUUUCAGCUAAUAGUGCUUGUGGCUUCCCAUUUAAAAUGGUCGACCUGAUGCCAUGGGAGGUGUUUGAUGGGAAGCUUUUCCACGCAAAGUACCUGCAGUCUCACAGUGGAUGUACAACGGAGGACCUCCUGGAAAAGAAUGACGUGCUGGUUCACGAGUUUCAGAAGCUCAAGUUUCUCAUCAACACUGUAUGUGCAGGAAAGAAUAGGAUUGUACAGAGCAAACCUCGGCCCCUUGUCCCAGCCAGAGAAAGGCCUGGUCCCCAUGGUAGAGGCAGCCAUCACGGUUUCUGGAGUGCACAGCCCACCCAUUGCCCGGGGUAUCAGGGACGAUAUCCACAGCCUGGUUGGACCAACUCAGCUCAAACAGGUAGAAGACUUCAACCAAGGCCAGGAUCCUACAACAGAAGACCACGGCACACACCAUGGUGAAUGUGGGGAAUCAGUGUAUCAAGUUACAUAUACAAAAGCUACACAAUUUCCUGCAUAACUACAGAAGAUACAACACCUUCCCUUUUUACCUCCUCCCUCCCUACUGUCCAUAGCAUCAACCACAUCCUGCGGGAAGCAGCAAUCUAUCCAUACUUGAUUUAGUAUUCUGCAUUACCUACUGAAGAUGCUGUCAUCUCUGUGUCAAACUUUGAUGAACGGUCCUAGACCUGAAAGAUUAACAACUUCUCUUUCCACAGCUGCUAACUGGCUUUGAGUAUUUCCAGCAUUUUCUGUUUUAGACUAAAUUCAGGUCGGAUGAUUGCUUUGUGGAACACCUCCAUUGCAGUCCAUGAGCUUACAGUACCUUUGAGUUUCUGUGUCGUACCCAAUCUGACCUCUCCAUCCUCAGCCAGUUAUGUUGUCCCAUCAAACCCCAAUGAAAUCUACAGCAACACACCUCAUACACAAGAAAAUAAGAGCAGGAGUAGGCCUCAGGCCCUUCAAGCCUGCUCCACCAUUUAAUAUGAUCAUAGCUGGCCUCCUCUUCUGUGGCAUUUCUCUGUAUCCCUCGAUCUAUCAAAUAUUUAUCCACCUCCACUUUAAGUACUUCUCAUGAUCCAGUUUCUGCCAGGGCAGAGGAUUCCAGAGCUGUAUUCUUCUGAUUAGCCACACUAAAACCUUCUGGACUCAGCACUGAGUUCAAGAAUUUCAAGUAUCAGCUUCUCCGGGAUUUUUAUGUCAGAUUUCUGCCUUCCUUGAGAAAUUUCAGGCCGUUUGGUUCCCGAGGUUCUCAGCCUGGUUGGAGUUAGUCAGGUUGUGGAAUGUUAAAGGGAAGAAGACAGCAGUGGACCUGAAGGAGAAUGUAACAUCGAUUUCCGCUGGUUUAAUCAAUACACUACCAGAGACAUAAAUUUAAUUAUUGACUUAGCAUUUUAAACACACUUUUUGUAUUGGUCUAGCAGAACAAUAAAUAAUUUAUGAAGCCUAAUGCAGGCUUUGAUGAUACCUCUGCAGGUUUAUCUACUGUUAAGCUCCCUGAUUUGAUGAAAGGUUAUUGACCUAAAGCAUUGACUUUCUCUGUGUUCCUCUGAUGAACGCUUCUAGCAUUUUCUCUUCCUGUCACUGGUUUGAAUCCCAGCUUGUGCUACAUCAUCAAAUCAGCAAUUAGCAAUAAACUCAACCCUGUGACUGCCGAGGGAACAUUGCCCAGGGUUGAUGGAUUCAGUUAAAUGAAAACAAAAAUACUGGAAAUGCUCAGCAGGUCAGGCAGCAGCUGUGGAGAGGGGAACAGAGUUAAUGUUUCAAUUCAAUGACCUUUCACCUGUUUUGUUUCAGAUUUCCAACAUCUGCAGUAUUUUGCUUUUAGAUUGGUAUUCUUGUUAGUUAAUCUAAGGACCCUUGCUGGCAGAACCCUGAAUACGGAGAAUCUGAUGGGGUUACAUUCUGAUGCUCUGUGGGAGAAGAGCUCCUAAUCCCAUUUUCUUUAUCAAAGCUUACAGAAAUGUAGUGUAGUGGUUAGCGUAACGCUAUUACAGCGCCAGCGACCCGGGUUCAAUUCCGGCCGUUGUCUGUAAGGAGUUUGUAUGUUCUCCCCGUGUCUGCGUGGGUUUCCUCCGGGUGCUGCGGUUUCCUCCCACAUUCCAAAGACGUACGGGUUAGGAAGUUGUGGGCAUGCUAUGUUGGCGCCGGAAGCGUGGCGACACUUGCGGGCUGCCCCCCAGCACACUCAAUGCAAAAGAUGCAUUUCACUGUGUGUUUUGAUGUACAUGUGACUACUAAAGAUAUCUUAUAACUUGGGAAGGCCCCCCAAGGGAUCUUAUGUCCAGUUAUCACAAGCUUGGAAACUGCACAGAAAAUUCCCCAAUCCCAAAAGAACUUUCAAAUACUCCCUGAAUGCCAGAGGUCUGACCAUAUAAAACUAUGAGGGGCAUAGAUAGGGUGAAUCCGCAGUCUUUUUCCCAGGGUUGGGGAAUCAAGAAUUAGAGGGCAUAGAUUUAAGGUGAGAGGGGAGAGACUUAAUAGGAACUUAAGGAGCAACUUAUUCACCCAGAGAGUGGUUUGUGACCUUGCACCUUAUUGCACUGCAUGUUCUCUGUAGCUGUGACACUUUGUACUGUUAUUGUUUUUACCUGUACUACCUCAAUGCACUCUGUACUAACUCAAUGUAACUGCACUGUGUAAUGAAUUGACCUGUACGAUCGGUAUGCAAGACAAGUUUUUCACUGUACCUCGG
RNA transcript from Pristis pectinata (smalltooth sawfish), 4388 nucleotides. It is a transcript of the gene named family with sequence similarity 120B, with no coding region annotated. The transcript is spliced from 11 exons. NCBI's taxonomy places the organism in Eukaryota, Metazoa, Chordata, Chondrichthyes, Rhinopristiformes, Pristidae. The record is from RefSeq and is a predicted model, not a curated record.